CAGUAGCCGCGGGAAUACGAAGGGUGCAAGCGUUAAUCGGAAUUACUGGGCGUAAAGCGUGCGUAGGCGGUGAGUUAAGUCUGCUGUGAAAUCCCCGGGCUCAACCUGGGAAUGGCAGUGGAUACUGGCUCGCUAGAGUGUGUCAGAGGAUGGUGGAAUUCCCGGUGUAGCGGUGAAAUGCGUAGAGAUCGGGAGGAACAUCAGUGGCGAAGGCAGCCCCCUGGGCCAAUACUGACGCUCAUGCACGAAAGCGUGGGGAGCAAACAGGAUUAGAUACCCCCGUAGUCCCUGUCUCUUAUAC
Molecule: ribosomal RNA, 301 nt
Filed under: uncultured bacterium
Lineage: Bacteria
Description: partial 16S ribosomal RNA
Rfam family: Bacterial small subunit ribosomal RNA
Source: RNAcentral